AACGAACGCUGGCGGCAUGCCUAACACAUGCAAGUCGAACGAGACCUUCGGGUCUAGUGGCGCACGGGUGCGUAACGCGUGGGAACCUGCCCUUAGGUUCGGAAUAACUCCCCGAAAGGGGUGCUAAUACCGGAUAAUGUCUUCGGACCAAAGAUUUAUCGCUUUUGGAUGGGCCCGCGUUGGAUUAGCUAGUUGGUAGGGUAAAAGCCUACCAAGGCGACGAUCCAUAGCUGGUCUGAGAGGAUGAUCAGCCACACUGGGACUGAGACACGGCCCAGACUCCUACGGGAGGCAGCAGUGGGGAAUAUUAGACAAUGGGCGAAAGCCUGAUCCAGCAAUGCCGCGUGAGUGAUGAAGGCCUUAGGGUUGUAAAGCUCUUUUACCCGGGAUGAUAAUGACAGUACCGGGAGAAUAAGCUCCGGCUAACUCCGUG
RNAcentral lists this ribosomal RNA (433 nucleotides) under uncultured bacterium. RNAcentral describes it as "partial 16S ribosomal RNA". It matches the Rfam family "Bacterial small subunit ribosomal RNA", at positions 29 to 507 of the family's 1533-position model. The record is from RNAcentral.